Long non-coding RNA from Cyprinodon tularosa, 747 nucleotides. RefSeq lists it as uncharacterized. The transcript is spliced from 4 exons. NCBI's taxonomy places the organism in Eukaryota, Metazoa, Chordata, Actinopteri, Cyprinodontiformes, Cyprinodontidae. The record is from RefSeq and is a predicted model, not a curated record.
CCAUGCAGCAGGACAGGGGGACAGACAGACGCCUGCUGACAGGAACAGAACUCCUGUCUUUGGUUGUGUUUUCUAAGCACCAUGGAAAGCUGGUGUUGAACCUGCUGUCUGUUUCCACUAGAGGAGGUUUGUGGGUUUCAGAACCAUGUGCACAACCAUCAUGGUUCUCUCCACUUUGGCCUUUUUACUGCGCCAACACCUCUUCAGCCGAGGAAAAACCUUUCCAAAGAACUUGGAUGGAAAAGAUGCACUUGCAGUGCACAGCCAAGAUGCUACCAAAUGAAACCACAUUACCAGGAGCUGGGCUUUAGAUGCAGGUUGUCUUCAGAUCAGUGGGAAUUAAACAGAAAGCUUCUCUCCAAAAAUGCUUUGUGCUCCAAAGUGGAACCAGCUUAGCCACAGCAGCUUUCACGCCCUGCCAACGAGCUGAUCUGGAAAGAACACGUCGAUCUCCUCUGUUAAACCUUUCUGUUAGAACCAGGGGAGAGAAGCCAUCUUGACAAAAAGAAACAAUUCUUCUAGAGGAGAAAUAAAGUGUUUGUGUGGUGCACAUUCACGGCCUGCUGCUUCCUCAUUUGAGGGGAAAUCCACUCCCCCGCUCUCUGGGACUCUAAAACAUGAUGCUUGGAUUGUUGUAAUGUUGAUUUCUCCCUUUACAUUGCUUCUCAUGCACAUCUAAUAAUAACUGCAUUGUGUACAGGAACAACUGAGCUCCUAUGCAAUUAAAGCUGAUUUCCAUCUCUUCUA